This 71-nucleotide microRNA precursor is filed under the name Oryzias latipes (Japanese medaka). Its description in RNAcentral is "mir-24 microRNA precursor family". It matches the Rfam family "mir-24 microRNA precursor family". From Rfam's summary of the family: This family represents the microRNA (miRNA) mir-24 family. miRNAs are transcribed as ~70nt precursors (modelled here) and subsequently processed by the Dicer enzyme to give a ~22nt product. In this case the mature sequence comes from the 3' arm of the precursor. Lineage: Eukaryota; Metazoa; Chordata; Actinopteri; Beloniformes; Adrianichthyidae. The record is from Rfam by way of RNAcentral.
GAUUCCUGUGCCUACUGAGCUGAUUAUCAGUCCUAUAGAACCACUGGCUCAGUUCAGCAGGAACAGGAGUC